This 510-nucleotide ribosomal RNA is filed under the name uncultured bacterium. RNAcentral's name for it is "partial 16S ribosomal RNA". It matches the Rfam family "Bacterial small subunit ribosomal RNA", at positions 28 to 507 of the family's 1533-position model. The record is from RNAcentral.
GACGAACGCUGGCGGCGUGCUUAACACAUGCAAGUCGAACGAAGAGCGACGGAAGCUUGCUUCUAUCAAUCUUAGUGGCGAACGGGUGAGUAACGCGUAAUCAACCUGCCCUUCAGAGGGGGACAACAGUUGGAAACGACUGCUAAUACCGCAUACGAUCUAAUCUCGGCAUCGAGGAUGGAUGAAAGGUGGCCUCUACAUGUAAGCUAUCACUGAAGGAGGGGAUUGCGUCUGAUUAGCUAGUUGGAGGGGUAACGGCCCACCAAGGCGAUGAUCAGUAGCCGGUCUGAGAGGAUGAACGGCCACAUUGGGACUGAGACACGGCCCAGACUCCUACGGGAGGCAGCAGUGGGGAAUCUUCCGCAAUGGACGAAAGUCUGACGGAGCAACGCCGCGUGAGUGAUGACGGCCUUCGGGUUGUAAAGCUCUGUUAAUCGGGACGAAAGGCCUUCUUGCGAAUAGUGAGGAGGAUUGACGGUACCGGAAGAGAAAGCCACGGCUAACUACGUG